This 301-nucleotide ribosomal RNA is filed under the name uncultured bacterium. RNAcentral describes it as "partial 16S ribosomal RNA". It matches the Rfam family "Bacterial small subunit ribosomal RNA", at positions 509 to 808 of the family's 1533-position model. The record is from RNAcentral.
CAGUCGCCGCGGUAAUACGUAGGUGGCAAGCGUUGUCCGGAAUUAUUGGGCGUAAAGGGCUCGCAGGCGGUUGCUUAAGUCUGAUGUGAAAGCCCCCGGCUCAACCGGGGAGGGUCAUUGGAAACUGGGAAACUUGAGUGCAGAAGAGGAGAGUGGAAUUCCACGUGUAGCGGGAAAUGCGUAGAGAUGUGGAGGAACACCAGUGGCGAAGGCGACUCUCUGGUCUGUAACUGACGCUGAGGAGCGAAAGCGUGGGGAGCGAACAGGAUUAGAUACCCCCGUAGUCCCUGUCUCUUAUACA